AGAUAUGAGGGUCAUCUGGCUGUGACAUCUGUCACCCCAUUGAUCACCAGGGUUGAUUCAGCUGAUCUGGCUAGCUAGGCGGGUGUCCCCUUCCUCCUUCACUGCUGCAUGAAUGUCCUUAUGUGCUCAGUCAAUGAGGAGGACCUUCCCCUAAUAGAGGAGGGUUGAUCUUGGUCAAGGGUAUAUUAGGAGCUACACUCUCUUGCUAGAACCUCCAAAGUACUUUGAAACUGUUAUUAGUUGCAGAACCAACUUCAUAAUAAGAUACUGAUAAACCCUGAAAUAUUAAUGAUAUUCCUCUGG
RNAcentral lists this small nuclear RNA (303 nucleotides) under Jaculus jaculus (lesser Egyptian jerboa). RNAcentral's name for it is "7SK RNA (ENSJJAG00000008757.1)". It matches the Rfam family "7SK RNA". Rfam says of the family: 7SK was discovered as an abundant small nuclear RNA in the mid-70s but a possible function has only recently been suggested. Two independent studies have found that 7SK RNA binds the CDK9/cyclin T complex (known as elongation factor P-TEFb). Lineage: Eukaryota; Metazoa; Chordata; Mammalia; Rodentia; Dipodidae. The record is from Rfam by way of RNAcentral.